CUGAUGCAGCAACGCCGCGUGGAGGAUGACGCAUUUCGGUGUGUAAACUCCUUUUAUAUGUCAAGAAAAUGACGGUAGCAUAUGAAUAAGCACCGGCUAACUCCGUGCCAGCAGCCGCGGUAAUACGGAGGGUGCAAGCGUUAUUCGGAAUCACUGGGCGUAAAGGACACGUAGGCGGGAAGCCAAGUCUGAUGUGAAAUCCUAUGGCUCAACCAUAGAACUGCAUUGGAAACUGGUUACCUAGAGUAUGGGAGGGGGAGAUGGAAUUAGUGGUGUAGGGGUAAAAUCCGUAGAUAUCACUAGGAAUACCUAAAGCGAAGGCGAUCUCCUGGAACAUUACUGACGCUAAGGUGUGAAAGCGUGGGGAGCAAACGGGAUUAGAUACCCCGGUAGUCCACGCCCUAAACGAUGUUCACUAGUCGUCGGGAUGCUAGUCAUCUCGGUGAUGCACUUAACAGAUUAAGUGAACCGCCUGGGGAGUACGGUCGCAAGAUUAAAACUCAAAGGAAUAGACGGGGACCCGCACAAGUGGUGGAGCAUGUGGUUUAAUUCGAAGAUACGCGAAGAACCUUACCAAGCCUUGACAUUGAUUGAACGGACCAGAGAUGGACCGGUGCCCUUCGGGGAACAUGAAAACAGGUGCUGCACGGCUGUCGUCAGCUCGUGUCGUGAGAUGUUGGGUUAAGUCCCGCAACGAACGCAACCCUCGUCAAUAGUUGCCAGCAGGUUAAGCUGGGCACUUUAUUGAGACUGCCUUCGCAAGAAGGAGGAAGGUGAGGACGACGUCAAGUCAUCAUGGCCCUUAUGGCUUGGGCUACACACGUGCUACAAUGGGGCGUACAGAGAGUUGCGAUAC
Molecule: ribosomal RNA, 856 nt
Filed under: uncultured Campylobacterota bacterium
Lineage: Bacteria; Pseudomonadati; Campylobacterota
Description: bacterial SSU rRNA
Rfam family: Bacterial small subunit ribosomal RNA
Source: RNAcentral